This 195-nucleotide ribosomal RNA is filed under the name uncultured bacterium. Its description in RNAcentral is "partial 16S ribosomal RNA". It matches the Rfam family "Bacterial small subunit ribosomal RNA", at positions 1307 to 1500 of the family's 1533-position model. The record is from RNAcentral.
GAAACUACGCCUACAUGAAGCUGGAGUUGCUAGUAAUCGCGAAUCAGCAUGUCGCGGUGAAUACGUUCCCGGGCCUUGUACACACCGCCCGUCACACCAUGAGAGUUGGCAACACCCGAAGUCGGUAGUCUAACCGCAAGGAGGGAGCUGCCGAAGGUGGAGCCGGUAACUGGGGUGAAGUCGUAACAAGGUACC